This 322-nucleotide ribosomal RNA is filed under the name uncultured bacterium. Its description in RNAcentral is "bacterial SSU rRNA". It matches the Rfam family "Bacterial small subunit ribosomal RNA", at positions 772 to 1081 of the family's 1533-position model. The record is from RNAcentral.
ACUGAAUAGAUACCCGGGUAGUCCACGCUGUAAACGAUGUCAACCUAGCUGUUGGUUGCAUGAAAAACGCGAUUAGUGGCGCAGCAAACGCGAUAAGUUGACCGCCUGGGGUAGUACGGUCGCAAGAUUAAAACCUCAAAGGAAUUGACGGGGGUCCCGCACAAGCGGUGGAGCAUGUGGUUUAAUUCGAUGCAACGCGAAGAACCCUUACCGUACCCGUUGACAUACAGUGGAGCUUACAGAGAUGUGAGUGUGCCUUCGGGUAACCACUGAUACAGGUGCUGCAUGGCUGUCGUCAGCUCGUGUCGUGAGAUGUUGGGUU